UACGUAGGGUCCGAGCGUUGUCCGGAGUUACUGGGCGUAAAGGGCGCGCAGGCGGCGGUGCUGGCCCGGCGUGAAAGCCCCCGGCCUCAACCGGGGAGGGUCGUCGGGGACCGCACCGCUUGAGGGCGGGUAGGGGCCGGUGGAAUGCCUGGUGUAGUGGUGAAAUGCGUAGAUAUCGGAGGAACAUCAGUGGCGAAAGCGGCUUCCCUGGACCAGUACCGACGUUCAGGCACGAAAGCGUGGGGAGCAACAGG
RNAcentral lists this ribosomal RNA (254 nucleotides) under uncultured bacterium. RNAcentral describes it as "partial 16S ribosomal RNA". It matches the Rfam family "Bacterial small subunit ribosomal RNA", at positions 524 to 775 of the family's 1533-position model. The record is from RNAcentral.